GACAUUUACAGACUUAUUGAAAGGAAAGUUAGGAGUUUCAUAGUUAGUAGUUAAGAACUCCACGUUUCUUAAUUGACUAGACUAAAUAUAUUUGUGUAAUUGUAUAAGUUACUCUUGCCUAGUAUGGAUUUGUUAUCUAAAUGUAAAUCAGAUAAAAUGUCCUAUGAAGGAUCGUCCAGCAAGAGGAAACAUAAAAAGGAGCACAAGCAUAAACACAAGAAACGUAGCAAUGAAAAGUCUGAAGUGGACAAAAGUAAAAAGCAUAAGAAACAUAAAAAACAUAAGCAUAAGCAGGAAGAAGUGGAAGAUAAUGAUAGAUACACACCCGAGGAGUUAGUUAAUCAGAACAACUCAAAAAUGAUAGUUGAAAAUGUUACGAAUGGAAAAGCGCUUAAAAGUGAUGCUAAAUCAGUGGCUGACAUCAUAACUGAUGGGUUAGGUGAAGCAAAAUUAUCAAUGGACGUAGUCUCUUCGGAAAGCGAUGAUGUUCCUGAAGCUGAUUGUGAUAGUGUUGAUAUUGACAUGAACGUCAUAGAAGCUGAUAUGGACCUGGAAGAAUUGAUGAAACAAAAAGAACUGCUUCAGGCACAACUAGCUAGUGCAGAUAGUGAAGGAGUCACCACACCUGCAGAGCCAGAAGUAAAACAUGACAAGCCUGAUGAAGUGAUAUUACUCGAUGACUCUGAUGAUUCUGAUCAUGUAUCCGCUGCCCCUGAAGUCAAAAAGCCACGCACUCAUGAACGUAAAGUACUCCUCCGUCCUACAGAGGACCCUAAGAGAAAACAGAUGUCUAGUAGAGAGAAGUCCCACAGAAGUAGGGAACGUGAGAGAGACAGACAUAACCGUGAGAUGGAAAGGCAGAGGAGUAGACAAGAGGCAGAUCGAAGAUCUAGAGAACGUUCAAGAUCUGGAAUAAAUGAUCGUCAUUACCAUGAUAGAUCUAGGCAAAGGUCUCCGGAUAGAGGAAGAGACCAAAGAAACAGAGACGUUAGAAGAGGCUACAGCGAUAGAGACAGACACAGGUCGACAAGGCACAGGUCUAGGGACAGGGAUCACAGAGAGCGAUUGAAAUCAAAAAAAGAAAAAGCUGACAAGUUCAAAGAUUCUCUAAGUGAAGGACAGAAUGCCAAAGUUAGUAGUAGUGAUAGCAGUGAUGUAGAGAUUCAGCUCGACUUGAGCGAGGAGGAAGAAGAUGAAGAAGCAAUUAUAGAAAGAAGAAGAAAGCAGAGGGAAGAAUUACUCAAGAGAUUGGGUGCAAACAAUCCUACAGUAUCCCAAAAUCAACCCCAGCCUGAACCAAUCUCUCCAACCAAAGUUGUUAUAGACGAAAAGCAAGACGUUAUCAUUGUUGAAGAGACAAAAUCAAUUCUAGAACCGCCCAAAGUUGAUGAAACUAAGAAGGCACACCAAGAAGAUCAGAAAAAAGAGAAUAAAGAAAUAAUCACAGAAAACGAAGAGUCUCUUACACCUCCUCUUUUACCUAAUAUGAAGACGAUGAAUAUUUCAAGUGAUAAGAGAAAUGACAAAGACAAGAGCAAAAAAUCUGAGUGGGAUAUGUUUGCUGAACAGGAUAUAUUCAAAGUCAAUACCAAAUCACCAAGCACGAUUACGACAAAGGGCACAGGUGCAGAAAAUCCUGCUCUCACUGAUAAUUGGGACGAUGCAGAAGGUUAUUACAGGGUUAGAAUCAGUGAAAUAUUAGAUUCGAGAUAUCUGGUAUACGGGUACACUGGUCAAGGAGUUUUCAGUAAUGUUAUCAGAGCUAGGGAUCAAGCGAGGGGAAAUCAGGACGUUGCCGUCAAAAUAAUUAGAAAUAAUGAGAUCAUGCAUAAAACUGGUCUCAAAGAGCUGGAGAUAUUGAAAAAACUGAACGACGCCGAUCCAGAAGAUAAACUCCAUUGCCUCAGAUUGAUUAGACACUUUUUUCACAAACAGCACUUGUGUAUGGUAUUCGAACCUUUGGCUAUGAAUUUAAGAGAAGUACUCAAGAAAUACGGAAAAGAUGUGGGGCUCCACAUAAAAGCUGUCAGAAGUUAUACUCAACAGUUGUUAUUGGCUCUGAAAUUAUUGAAAAAGUCCGGAAUUCUACAUGCAGAUAUCAAACCGGAUAACAUAUUAGUUAAUGAAAGCAAACAUCUGCUGAAACUGUGCGAUUUUGGAUCGGCCUCCAUAGUGAACGAAAACGAAAUAACUCCCUACUUGGUCUCGAGGUUUUACAGAGCUCCAGAAAUCAUAUUGGGCAUGACUUAUGAUUAUGCCAUCGAUAUGUGGUCUGCUGCAUGUACUAUUUAUGAAUUAUAUACCGGUAAAAUAAUGUUCUCAGGAAAAUCCAACAAUCAAAUGCUCAAAUUUUUCAUGGACGUGAAAGGAAAGUUCCCGAAUAAGGUCAUAAGGAAGGGAGCCUUCAAAGAUCAGCACUUUGAUGGCAAUUACAACUUUUUAUAUCAUGAGAUCGACAAGGUCACUGAGCGGGAGAAAGUUGUAGUUAUGUCUGUGGUGAAGGUAACCCGAGAGUUGCAAUCAGAGCUUAUAGCGGGACAAGCUUUGCCUCCAGACCAGCUACGAAAAGUCACCCAGCUCAAGGACCUCCUCGAGAAGGCUCUAUCGAUCGAUCCUGCCAAAAGGAUCAGCCUAAAUAAUGCAUUGACACAUCCUUUCAUCCAGGACAAAAUAUGAAAAUGGUUUAGAGAGAAUGGCGUUAAAGGAAUAUCGAGAGAGUCUUGAUGGGAAACCAGAUUAAAAAAUCCAAGUGAACAAAGAAAGUCACUCCAGAGAAAGAGUGGAUUGUGAUAAGUUAGAUUCGUGGAUCUCCGGAAUUUGUAAAAAAAAAGGAUAAGUAUCUCUCAUGUGAUGAACAACACUUCUAAUCGGUUUUUAUUAUAUUAUAGUGAUCUCGUCAGCCUGCGGUAAAGUUGGUUAUAACAUUCAAUGGGAAUCAAAGGUAAGUGCGAUAAAAUGGAGCUUUACCGUGGAGGUAUCAAUAUUGUGACUAGUUACCUUGUUUUUCACGAAUCCUGUAAGGAAAUUCUGGAGGGAUGUUAUGAUAUCGAUAACAAAAACCAGGAUUUGUCUUUAUUGUAAGCAAAAUAUAAUUGCAUAAUUUUGUAACGGUUGAAAUUUCUGAAUUCAGAAGAAUCAGUAGAGCCGCCCUGUAGGUUCGUUAUUUUAUCAGAAUAUUGCUGGGAUGGUGGCUUGUCUAUUAAGCAGGAGUAAAUAAAACCGAGGAGAUGGUCAGUAUUUAGAAACGAUUCAGAUCAGUAUCUAUCAUAAAGCCGACACGAAAGCAAGGCUCCAGCUAGGGACUGUCCGAAACCUAAAAACAUCUAAGGUCAGUCAAAUUAGUCAAUUCAAUAUUUUCAUUUCCUAUUCUUGAAAUAUUGUUAGAGAAUUCCAUGACACAUGUUUUCAGGUUUUUCGACAAGAAUAAUAAGAUCACCUGUGAAAGAUUCACGUCGAGAACUGUCUGACCAUGUAUUCAUUUUUUUGGGGUAAAAAAAAGCUUUCAAGGCAUAUUUAUCUGGUAAUUGGAGAAAUCCUUCGGAAAAGCUAUAGUUGCAUCAUACACGUCGUUCUUCGAGAUACGAGGAGACAUUCUAGAAAGUACCAACGGAGAACUAUAGCAAGUAUAAAAAAAAACAUCAAAAAUGAUGAUACCCCGUUAGUAGAAGCCCUGAUAUUGAUGAUAUAUUUUGGAGCGGUGUGAUAACUGAACUCUACAGUUCAUUCCUUAAAAAGUAGAGGAUAGUUUAAGUAUUUACCUUUUCUCUUUGCACCUAAGACAGCUGUUGAGCGGGGUUAUAAAUUAUUGAGUUCAAUUAUAGUUAAUCGAAAAGUAGGUUCUGGAUAGAUUAAGAUUCAGAUAGUUACUUUUCACAACUCAUUUGUUCCCUCACUUUCAAUUUAUGUAAUGAUCUAUCUGUCAGUUUACUACUUGAAUACUUGGAUUCAAUAUUGUUCCGUGAUAAGAGUUCCCCAGUGGUAAUUGAUCAGAACGGACUAUAGCAGCGUAUUAAUAUCUUUACUCGAAACAUUUGUUUAAGUAUUAAGUAUUGGUUCUUUUAACUUGAUACAUAUACAAUGUGACCCAUUUUUAAUGGAAACACCCCCCUAA
Molecule: RNA transcript, 4111 nt
Organism: Leptinotarsa decemlineata (Colorado potato beetle)
Lineage: Eukaryota; Metazoa; Arthropoda; Insecta; Coleoptera; Chrysomelidae
Gene: Prp4k
Gene name: Pre-mRNA processing factor 4 kinase
Source: RefSeq, a predicted model, not a curated record